This 468-nucleotide ribosomal RNA is filed under the name uncultured bacterium. RNAcentral's name for it is "partial 16S ribosomal RNA". It matches the Rfam family "Bacterial small subunit ribosomal RNA", at positions 28 to 507 of the family's 1533-position model. The record is from RNAcentral.
GACGAACGCUGGCGGCGUGCUUAACACAUGCAAGUCGAACGGAAAGGCCCUGCUUUUGUGGGGUGCUCGAGUGGCGAACGGGUGAGUAACACGUGAGUAACCUGCCCUUGACUUUGGGAUAACUUCAGGAAACUGGGGCUAAUACCGGAUAGGAGCUCCUGCUGCAUGGCGGGGGUUGGAAAGUUUCGGCGGUGGGGGAUGGACUCGCGGCUUAUCAGCUUGUCGGUGGGGUAGUGGCUUACCAAGGCUUUGACGGGUAGCCGGCCUGAGAGGGUGACCGGCCACAUUGGGACUGCGAUGCGGCCCAGCCUCCUACGGGAGGCAGCAGUGGGGAAUAUUGCACAAUGGGCGGAAGCCUGAUGCAGCAACGCCGCGUGCGGGAUGACGGCCUUCGGGUUGUAAACCGCUUUCGCCUGUGACGAAGCGUGAGUGACGGUAAUGGGUAAAGAAGCACCGGCUAACUACGUG